RNAcentral lists this long non-coding RNA (236 nucleotides) under Elaeis guineensis (African oil palm). RNAcentral's name for it is "long non-coding RNA (EGUI_LNC037410)". The record is from RNAcentral. Lineage: Eukaryota; Viridiplantae; Streptophyta; Magnoliopsida; Arecales; Arecaceae.
UACCAUAAGAAUGAUCAAUUUUUUUGAUUAAAUUAAAGUUUCUAGACAAAGAAUUCAUGACUUCUUUUAAUUCAAUUUUCAAAAUUUUAAUGAUUUUAUAUUAAUUAUUAGUUAUUAUAAAAGAAAAGCUAAAUGGUUGACUCAAAUUGUAGAGAUUCGAUAUCUAUUUAGUCUAAAUCUUUUCCAUGGAUCUGACCUCACCAGACUCAAACACCUAAUAGAUUGGGAUUGAGCCC